CAGUCGCCGCGGGAAUACGUAGGUGGCAAGCGUUGUCCGGAUUUAUUGGGCGUAAAGCGAGCGCAGGCGGUCAAUUAAGUCUGAUGUGAAAGCCCCCGGCUCAACCGGGGAGGGUCAUUGGAAACUGGUUGACUUGAGUGCAGAAGAGGAGAGUGGAAUUCCACGUGUAGCGGUGAAAUGCGUAGAGAUGUGGAGGAACACCAGUGGCGAAGGCGACUCUCUGGUCUGUAACUGACGCUGAGGAGCGAAAGCGUGGGGAGCGAACAGGAUUAGAUACCCCUGUAGUCCCUGUCUCUUAUAA
This 301-nucleotide ribosomal RNA is filed under the name uncultured bacterium. RNAcentral's name for it is "partial 16S ribosomal RNA". It matches the Rfam family "Bacterial small subunit ribosomal RNA", at positions 509 to 809 of the family's 1533-position model. The record is from RNAcentral.